AGAGAAAGGAGAGUGGAAAAGAGAAAAAUCAGUAUUAAAUAUUUAAUAAUUGCCUUCUUUGUAGUUUUGUUCACACACAAGUGAAUUACUUUUUAACCCUGAGGCUGUGACCCUACUGUGAAUUGCUGAGUUGUUUCCAUAUGUCAUCAAAUUCAUACAGAUCUCUCUUAAAAAUUUCAUUUACAAGAAAAAUUAAAUCUCUUGCCCUGUAGAAAAUAUAAAGGAGAGCACUAAUUUGAGUUCCUUUGCUCUAAUUAAAGUAUUUCUGCCUUUCGAAUGCAAAUGUGCGGUUUAAAUCUGAUAUAUCCUGGGAGAAAACAGUAAAAUGAACUGGGAUAUAGGAAAUAAAAGAUCAAUGUAACUUUCACAGAGGGGGACCUAAUAACUUCUCAUGAAGCCCGAUUUUGCGAGAUUUGGAGCACCUCAGAGAUGUGGAACCUAGAGGUUCCCUGAGUUAUACCCACUGAUAAUGUGAAUAUUUUCUUCUAGAUCUGUAAAGCAAAUUUUGCUGGAUCUCUGGAAAUGGCCUAGAAGUUCCUUUUCAAGCACAGGAAAUAAAGCAGGAAUUAAAGGCAAGAGACUCUGGAAGGAAAAGGCCAGUUACUUUCUUAUGAAGACAGGGAAGAAAGCCUAAACCUCAGCUCACUGUCACUUGGUGGUGAAGAGGAGCAGAGUACUUGCUAUCUUCUAUACAGUGGUGGAAGGGAGGCAGAGGAGGAGUCCAUCCAUCAGUUGGGAUGGAUUAAAUGAAAACUAUGGCUUUAUAGCAGAAGGAGUGAUAAUGACUCCAGAAAAGCACAGAGAAGACCCAGGUACAGAACAAAAGCUGCAGAGACUUUAUCUCUCCAGCUAAGACAGUGGAAAAAAUAGUUUAAUUUCAACAAAAGUCUUAUUUUGGUGUACCAAAUCAGUCAAGCCCACUGGACUUCAGUAGCAACUGAAAAACCUACCACACCCAACAUAUGGUUCCUUUGUUCUCAUUUGCCAGAAGACUAUUUUCUCUUCAGCAUCUAAAGCCAACAGGAUACAGAAGUGACCUUUCACUAAUUUAGGAAGAAGACUUAUAUUUCCUGGCUAAUGUAUGCGUUUUGGACCUGUUGUCAACAAGGUUUUAUUAUUCCUACAAAGCCAGAAAGGGCUAUAAAGGACAUGAAUCAGAAUAAAGAAAAUGUUUUGAACAAAGAGACGCUGAUGUCCUGGGUCACACCCUUCUUUAUCUACGUACAAAUCCUGCGCCAGCUGGGAAACCUCGAGACAGGAGCAAGGACACAUCACUGGAGCAGCUCAUGAACAGUCAGUCGGACACAUCAUGAACAUGCAGGAAACUCUAAAUGUGUUUAUGCUGGACCAAGAACUUUUCCUGUGUGUUCAUCAUGAGUAUGGUCCCAAAAGACAUCUUUCCAAAAAAGUGCUGGGAUAGUGGUAGAGCUCUGUGUGCAUGAGAACCAAGAACUCAUCAGAGUCACCAUAUAGAAAACAAUUUGAAAAAGGACUUAUUUCUGUGUAGCACCCAGCUGCAACAUGGGGUAUCUGCAGCAUCACUAAACAACUAUUGAGAUACCAUUAAACUAUUUCAAUGUGAGUACAGUGGAGCCUUGAGAGGCUGUGGAAAGGGGAUACAUAUUCUGUGUGCAUUUCUCUCUCUCUGUCAGUACUACAUCACUUAUCCAACCAAAACUCAUCAGCAAACCUUCUCAUAAACUCUUAUGCAGACAAUAUUAGGAGUACAAAAUCUUCUCUUAAAUGUUCCCUUGCCAUAAUCCAUAGGCUCUCACAGACCUGCUCUUCAGAUGAAACACUCGUUUUUCAAUCACUAACAAACAGCAGAGGUUGAGCAGAUAACACUGCCCAAAGAUUUUGUGAGCUGAAACACAGACCAGUACUGACCUCAAUACAGAGCAGAGACCUUUAGUAACAUGCAUGAGCAACCUUUCCUACAGUAAGUAUAAAGAGCACCAGUCAUUCAGUAGUCCAAUUAUUCCAUCCCAUGAUAUCAACAUAAAUUAAAAAUUGUGAUAGAUACCAUGUUCAUAUUAUCCAUCCUGAGAAUAUUAAAAUAAUGAGGAUUGCUUAGGAUAAUAAUUCAAUAAAAAAGACAUCAAUUUUAUUGUUACUAUGCCACAACAGAAAAAAUAAAUUCUACUGUCUUUAUAAAAAGCACAGAAUCAAACAUUUCCUUCCAGCUGUUUAAGUAUGAAAAUUUCUAAUUAAAGCAUGGCUGUUGGCUUAUCUAUUGUGUCACUCUUUCUUUUGUUUCUUUAGUCCUAAAUCUCAAAAGUUAAUUAGCAUCUGCAACCAUGUUCUAAUACACCACAUACCUCUGAACUGCUCACUUUUCCCUGUUCAGCACUUUUAAAUAGGUCUCUUAGCUAUCCUGUUUCCUCUAUAGAACUGCUUUCCUCUGCAGUAAUUACUCACUGGCAGUCCACUCAAUGUCCAUGAGGAAUAAAGCAUGAAAAGUCUCAGUCUUCCAAUCAGACAAAGGUAAAAUUUACUAAAUACAUCUGUGCACCUUAUACAAGAUCAGCUACAAGAUCAGUGUACAGAAAAUUUAGGAAUAAAAAACAGUGAACCCUUGUGCUUGUACACAAUUUUUCUGUGAGUGUGUGUAUUUAUAUAUACAUUUAUACAAAAGGCUCAGAAUUUCCUGUGCUUUUGCAUCACAAGCUCAAGGGAGUGGAAAGGAAAGGUGUGGCGUACCAGCAACUAGAACUUCCUGAAAUAUUGACUAAAAUUACUUCCAUGAGGAAGAGAGACAACACAGGCUUUACAGAUAGUAUUUUCUAAAAGCACCCAAGCACUGAAAUUAUCAUGAAUUUAAUUAAUUUACUUCAUCUUCAGUGUGGUAAUUAGCAGAACUAUGUAAAGAAACAGGAAACAGCAUUUUCUUAAAAAUACUCGAGUCAACUCUUGCUUUCAUUCCCAUUGCAGUAUGUGAUACAUUACAAUUAUUUAUAAUAAUUACAAAUACAUAACUAUUACAACUAGAGAACAGCAAAAAAAAAAAAAAUCCCACCUUAAGUACACAUGAAAGGACAAAUCACACUACAGUCUUCAAGAUAACAUGAGAAACAAUGACACACAUCUAAACUGGAGAUCAUGACAGACUGUUUUUUAAACUCAAAAAAUUCUCUGGUUUUGUUUUUAAAAUUAAUUUCUGACUUUUGCAUUACAUAUGGGCUCUUUCAAAACUUAAAUGUUUCUUAUCCUUCUUCAUCCUUAUUCCAAGUAGAAAGCCCAGAAGUCAACUCACCUACUUUGCAGAAGAGAAAGCAAGUUAUAAAUACUUGUCCUGAAUUAGAACUAACUGUGAUGAGACCCUGAGUCUCCCACAUUCAAGCCAAAUGUUCUAAUCACUCAAGGGUGGCUCUCCCUAAAUCCAUAGCUCUUCCUUAAGGUCAAUUUCAUUUUGAAAAAUUUCUAACAAAUUAAUGCUCUCCCUGUAGGUGAGUAAUGUCUUAACCAAAAAUUCAUCUGUGGGACUAUUCAGCAACACCUGAAGAGUUCAAUAUAGGCCAUUUUUAUACCUCUGCCCUUUGUUUUCAUUCUUAGUGAAAUUGUAGGUUACAUUGUGUGCCUCAUAUUUUCCUCACUUCAAAUUAAUUAACUUUGCCUCAUUCUAAAGAAAAUCUACAAACUGGGAAAAAAACCUACAUACAAACUGUGGGGAAAGAAGUCAGGCAUGCUGCAAAAAAGAUCAAAAUACAACAUUACCUGCACUUAAAUUUUUUACUUUACUUCGAUUCUGUCUGAAGUCAGCAUUGAAUCCUAUGCUAUACAAAAGCAUUGCCCAGAUUUAUCAUUAUCUUCUAUGGAAAAAUUAAAGGCAAGUCCAGAUGGUAACAUUUACUUACUCAUCUAUUUGGCAGACACAUGUUUCCACCUCUUUCAGUGCCGCUUGUAAUUUGAACAGCAAUUUUUGAUAGACAUCUUGUGUUUCUAAGUCUUCUUCUUUUAAGAGGUACCUCAGACCAUGGCCCUCUUGCUGACCAAGAGAUUGUCCUGAAGGGGCAGCCAUAGUAGUAAUGGUAUGUUGGACAUAAAUCAUGGGAUUCAGUUUACCUGGGAAUAAUUCAAAGGGAUUUCAUCAUUAUUUUUUGAACAUAUAUUUUGAAGUUAGUAAAAUACCUAACAGACACUGAAAUACUUUUCUGUUUAAAAUUCAUGUACUUAUUUAAUUUUGCAUUUUAUUUGCAUUUCAAAGUCAAGCCAUUUAGGAGAAAGUUAUUGUGAAAUUAUGACUAUCCAUUAUGCUGUGAAAUAAAAGUAAAAAUCAAAAGAAGGGUGAUUUCAGAAAGACUUGUCCUCAAUUUUAAUAUUUUGGCUAUAAACCUAAACUGAUUACCUUUUAAGGCUCUAUAUCAGAAGCAGUGGAAGUAGGUCUUUCAAGCUCAAUUGACCUACCUUGGUCGGUGUUUUUAUUUUCCUUUUCAUGGGAAGAAUGUUUUCUGCUGUCUAACUGUACACCAAAGGCACUACCAAGGGAAGUUGAGGUCUUAGGGUAAGACACUUCCAUCACAUUGAUAUGGCAAUUGGUGGGACAGAAAUCACUGCUGUGAAGUGGUGAAAUCUUUGACUUAGCUUGUUUGAAGGUAGGCCAAGCUCUGUUUUUUAGCACUCUUGAAAACUAGAAGAAAGAAAACCAAAUUUUGAUUAUGAGCUCUUCUUGUGUCUGCAUGUAGCUAACAAUUCUUGUGUACCUAACUAGAAAAUAAAAGCUUAAAAUAUUUCAGUCAGCCUUGACUUAAGAUGUCUUGACUUUGCAAUUUGCAUCUUUCUCUAAAAAGGAAAGAAAAAUGUUUUUCAUUUUACAUUUUUAAGGGAUUUUUUUUUUAAGCAAAUGACAUUUUAAGAAGUAAAUAGCUUUGUAACAGAGAGAUAGAAUUUAUUUCCCAUGGAACAUAAUAAAAAGUGUCUUUCUGGGGAGUAAGUCUGAAACUGCUGUACUGCUCAUGACAUUUAUAAACACCUGUCAACAUUUCCAAGCCAGUAUUUUUCAAAAACUCAUGAAAUUGUUGUCAGAAGCUAUAAUGAAGACAAAAUCAGAAUGUAUAAAUUCUGGAUUUCCUGAUCAAGAAGGAGGAAGUCCUCUUUAAUUAUAUCUUAUCCUCCUGCAUUAGGAGAAGCAUUGCCAGGGGUUGAAGGGAGGUGAUCCUGUUCUCCUCAGCACCAGUGAGGCCUCCCUGGGUCCCAGUCUGGGCUUCACAGAAUAGACAUGGGCAUAUUGGAGAGAGCCCAGUGGAGGUGAGCCCUCUGAGAUCCUUCAGGGACUGGAGCAUCUCUCCUGAGAGGUAAGGCUGAGAGAGCUGGGACCCCUCGGCCUGAAGAAGAGAAAGUUCAGGGAUUAACACAUCAAUGUAUAUAAACACCUAAAGGAAUGAUGCGAAGAGGACAAAGCCAGGCUCUUUGCAGUGCUGUCCAGUGCCAGGACCAAAGGCAAUGGGCCCAAACUAAGCACAGGAGUUUCCGCUGAAUGUCAGGAGACUUUUGCACUGUGAGGGUGAUUGAGCACUGGCACAAGUUGCUCAGAGAGGUUCAGGGAAGAGAGGUAAGAUCUCCCUCCUCAAAGAUGAUCCUGGGCAACCAUCUCUAGGUGGCUCUGCUUAGGCAAGGUUGGAUGGACAAGACCUGCAGAGAUACAUUCCAGCCUCAACCGUUCUUCUAUUUUGAGUGACAUUAGGAAGCUGAUGAGCACUAAUAGAUAAAAACUGCAAAAACCCCAUUUUACAGACUUUCCUAGCUCAGCACCCCUUCUUCCCCCCUAUAUAUCAGCUCAGCAAUGAGGAAUGCUUUUUAUGGUCUAAUUCUAAUACAGUGCUUAGCCACAUCUCCUUGACUCUAACAUCUUAAAUUUUGUGCAGUGUCUUGAAUAGGCUUAGAGUUAUUUGGUUUUUACGACGAGAAGAUGUCAACCCAAAAUGGUGAGGACUGAACUGAACACUCAGCAACUACAUCUGUGUCAGAAUCAAGUAAUGAGAUCAAGCUCUUCAAUUGGAAAAGAGAUUUGUAGGAUUUUUGUCAAUAUGUGUCAAUUCCGGUGCAGUUUGUGGUCAGGGGAGGUUUUUUUCUGGAAAGAUGCAUUCAGUGUUUUAAUCACAAUAUCUCUCUAGUCAAAAUAUUACACAGACCUACUUCAGCUUUGAACCACAGCUCAUGCAUAAGAAUAUUUUCAAAGUUAACUUGCAAAGCUUCUUCACUAAUAAAUGUCAGAAAAAUUCAAAACAGUCAAUUUUUUACUAACCCUUCAGUUGAAUUAAGACACAUUCCUUCUGCAAAGUAAGAUGUUUCUGUAUAGGGACUUAAAUUUCUGUUUAUUUUGGUAUCAUAUUACUUCAGUCUGAUGAAUGCUUUUAGAAAUAAUUACAUUUAAAUCUUUAGAUCACAAGAAGAUCUGGAGGGUUACAAGAAAUCCAAUUAUGGAGUUGUUCAAAGGCUGAAGAAUGUACAAAUUGUUAAGAAGGAUACUAAGGACAUUCAAUGAUGAAAAUGUUUCUGCAAGCAGUACAUAUUUCACAUCUCAAUCUCCCACACAUCCUGCUCCAGAGAGACCAAAUACUGGCUAUGAUUUAAUCAGGUCAUAAGUCAGGACCAAAAUUCUUUUCAUAUAUGUGUUGAGAAACAUCUGGGACUCAUGGCACUGGAAUUGAGGUCUAAUUGGAGCAAAAUGUUCUGAUAAUAAUAAUAGUAGGAUCUGCAGAAAUCCACAAGAUUUUAUUUAUAGAAUUCGAACUUUCACAGUAAAACCAGGAGCCAAGCUGGGCUCAUGCACUCCAAAAGUCUCCUGUAACUAUGGUUACCUUUACCUUGCCAAGGAAGUGACACAUCUAUUCCUGAAAUCCACUGCAUUACUAAUUGUCAUUAAAAGCUGUAACAGUGAAACUACUGAUUUUUGAGCAGAUGAGAUUUGAAGUGCAGUCUGUAUCAGGAAUAUCUGCUUCUAGACAGUGCAAGAACUAUGAAAACUUCCCUGAGGUUGUUUGUUUCACAUCCAGCAAGCACAACAAAAUUUGAUUUACUGUCUUGGCCUCCUCUGUAGAGGCUAUAUAUCACAGUCAAAUUUUUCAGCUACAGAAGACAUAUAAAUCACCUGCAUGUUACUUGAACUGUAACUGUUAAUAUGAAAACUAAUUAGUUUUUGGGUUUUUUUUAAAUUUCAUUUUAAAGUGUAACCAGAUUGGAAAUAUGGAUGUUUGUAAUUCAGGCAAACAAUGGAGAGGUCAGAUUUUUGCUAAAGCAGUAUCUGGAUUCUUUUGAUGUCUCCAUUAACACAACUCAUUUAUUCCAUUUCUUUUUAGAGAGCACCUGGAGAAGUCUGACAAGCUGCUUUUUGACCAUCGUCCUACUGAAUACUGAGCUACAAGUAUUCCUAACAGUUCUCCCUACUUUCCUUUGAAAACUGAAAAAUCAUCCUCUAGCCUUUUAUAGGCAGCUUCUGCAAAUGUGUGAAGCUUCUGUAUUCACUUUCCUUUUCCUUUGCUUUUUCUUCUUUUCAAAUUUUCAUGCCUUAACUCUCAGAACAGACCAGUUUCUAAAUGUCACAACUCAGAUCCCCAAAUGAGGCAAUACAGGGCAGACCCACUUUUUUGCAGUCAUUUUGAGCCAGCUUCAAAGUAAUUCACCUCCCCACAAUUAGGUUCCAUGAGAGAGGAACUAAGAGUCUGGAUGAGAAAAUGAUUUUGCAUUAAAAAGAUGGCAAAUGGUUGAUUCAUUUAUACCCUGCUUACUUAAACAACUAUAGAAAAAUGCACUGACAGCAAUUAGAGGUCAUAGUUUGGGCUAUUUAUUCAUUCACAUACCAUUAAUUUAGAUCUCAAGCAUAUGAAAAUCAGUGCCUUCUCCAUUUUCCAUGCUAUUAUGUUUUAUUAAACCAAGUGACGCUAACAAUUUACAGAGAUGGUACUAUUAACAGAAAUGCUAGGGCCUAAAAGUUGAAUAAAAGGGUUACAAUUUGGUAUUUGUCUUGCACUAGAAAAAAAAAAACAACCCAAUUCUGUUGUUAUUGCUACAUUUUUGGUUAACAUCUGCAAACUCACUAGAGUAUUGUUUAAGGCAUUUACAAGAAUGACGGCUCCUUUGCGGAAAUGUGCAGUUGAUUGUCUCUACAACUGAACACAGCAAACAAGAAAGAAUACAAACUACCCAAAGUCUAAAAAAGGGAUAAGAAAGAGAAUAGCCUGAAAACAAUUGAUGCAAUUACUCAAUUAAGGCAUUCAUGCUUCAAAAUAGCUAAACUUUCAGCCACAUUUUUGUCACUGCCAUAGAGACUCUGAAGAGUUAUUCAAACUGUACCACAUUCCCGUUUCUUCCUUUAAAGACAAAUAUAAUCAAGUUUAGGACAUGCAGGUCAUACCUUUUUAUAGCUAGAGAUUCUUCUGUAGAUAUGCUCAAUCUUCUCACUGCAAAUGACACUGAAUUUACUUUGAAGUUCAGUGGGGAUCACGUCAUUUAAGGAAUUGAGGCUGUUGCAAUUCUGCACAAAAUUUUCAUCACUUUUUGCCAGUGCUUCAAGAAUCUAAGAUAAUAAAAACAUGAAAAAUAUGUAAUGAGAUUAAGUUGACUAAAGUAUCCCCUUACUAAUCAUAAUUAAAUCUUUUAACUAAAGCUGAAAAGCCUGCUAACAUUACAGAAAAUGGUGCACAACAACAAUGAAUGAAGCUUGGGAUGCAAAGAGAUUUUCUUAAAUCUAUUCCCUGCUAAAUUAUACCCAUAAGUAUUUUUGCUUGGCUUCUCAUGACAUUGUCUGAUAAUGGAUUUACUACUAAUUUCCUACUAAUGUAACCACCAUAGCUCCUCUGAAAUACAUUAUCUGCUGUAUUUACUUGAUCAGCACAUAUUAUGCAGAUCUGCUGAAUUAAUUCAUUCAUUACUUCUAGAAAACCUUUGGCUUGGAAGAAUACUAACACAUUGAAAAAGCAUAAAAGAAAACUGAGUGGAAUCUUCUUGUAUAUUCUGCCUAAAAAAGCUAGGAAAUAGGGCACAGAAUAAGCUGUACUGCUCAGGAAAGACUGAAGCCUUGCUAUAAUGGUGAGAGAAAAGUAAUUAAAAGGCAUGUUCAAGAGAUGAAGGUAAUAUAUAGCAUUUAUAGAUAUUUCAGUGGAUCUUGGACUUUUUUUCAAGUUUUAUAUGAUAAUUUAGAAAUAAGAGAGUGGAAGACUUUUUAGACCUUUUAAUAUUUUUUUUUAGAUUUAAGGCUCAAUUUAUAAUGACAACAUAACUCUUUUUGCCUCCUGAGCACACAAUCAUCCUCCAAAACAUCAGAGAGAUAUAGGUGAGCAAUUAUAAGGUAUCAAAUGAAAGACAUAUAAUCAUAAGAGUCAAAAAAGACACAAGUUUCUCCAUUGGUAUUAAACACAAUAAGCAUCAACAUGCAAAAAAUGCUUCAUACCUUUGCAGUCAAACUGAAAAAUCCCUUUGGUUCAAUCAUUUUUUCCAAGACAUGGCACUUUAUUCCAGCUGUGCUGUCAUACUCAUAAACCACUCCAUACUCCAGAUGAACAUUGUCAACAGUCAGACUUACAUGAUCUUUCUUCCCAUCAAUUAUUGCCAUAGUGUUAAAUUUGUCAAUUACCUCUAGAAUAAAUAAAAUAACACAAAUCAGUUGACAAGUCCUGGCCAUUAAAUGAACUAUAAAGGACACAGGCAAACAUUCUAAAAAGAGGUAUGUUCUGAUCAUUCUAUUUAAAAACAUUCAUUUAAAAAACCUGGCUGAAAAAUAUAAAAAUCAGAACACCUGAUCUACAGUCAGUAGACUUGUACAUAUUAAAAUACUGGACUGCAAAACAGGCAGUACUCCUUCUUUACAAACAGUUAUUUAAGGGGGAUAAUUCCAUUUCAUUUAUAAUCCAAAGACAUUAAGAAGGACCCAAAAAAGGGGAAAACUGUGAAUUUCUAAAUAAAGGAGAAGAAUAUCACUAUGAAAACUGUCAACAUUCAGAAAUGAAACCACAAUAACUGCAUUUAUGAAUGCACAGUUCAAGUAUUAACUGCCUCUUUAAUUACAAGUUGCAGAUGAAUGCAGUUUCAUCUAAACAUUAAUUGCCUGAAAAUAAACUGAAGGAUAGUUGUGUUUUUAUUUCCCAUGCAGUAAUGACUAAUGUAUCUAGUUUGCCAUAAUGAUUACUAGGGGUGAAAAUAAAUCAGGUAAUGCCUACGUUUAUAUUUAUUACAAAUGAAAACAAACAGAUUUUCCCAAAGUGUUCACAGAAGUAUUUUCUCUAAAUGGGAAAGAUAGUCAUUUUCAAAGAAUAGCACGUUAAAUUUAUAUGUUUAUAAUAUAUAAGAAAACAAAUGCUUAUGUAAAUCACAUCUUAUGAUCUGCUCAAAAUUUCCUCUCUGCAAAUAAAUCCACUGCCUACAUUUUCCUUGUAUUAUAAUAGCAUUCUCAGGAACAGCAAUAUCAAACAAGCAUCAAUACCUUCCACUUUACAGUCAAAGGCAUCGCCUCCAUCAUCUCCAGAGGGUUUGGUGUUUGUUUUCUGAAGAUCUUCCUGUGCACUUUCAAUGCUGUUGUAAACCCACUGUAUAGAAUCUUGCUAGAAAAACAACAAAAAAAAGACAGCUAGAAAAAGCUUUGCAAAAGCAACUGAUAGCAACUAUUUCACUAUUUUUAAGGCCUAAGUAAAAAAAAAAAAAAAAAAACAACCAAACAAAACAAAAAAAAACCCAGAGAUUUUUGGCAUUGUAUAAAACCAUUCUAAGAAUAUUGGCAAGUUAUUUUUUAUUUCAGUAUAUACUGUCAUGAGACAAUACGAAGUCUGUGACAGCAUGAUAUCUAUCAUCUUUACUUCAUUGCCAAAAAUAAUUUAAGACAUUUCAAAUCAAAUUGCAGAUUGAAAAAUAUUUUUCCCCAAGAAAUCAUGGGGAAAAAAACAAUUUUUGAUUUGCAAAUUCUGCUGUGCAUCCACAAAUCUGGUAGCAAAAGUUAUGGAACAUCAACCAAAGACAGAAAAUGUCCAGUUAAUCCAUCACCUUGUGUCACUGGCACAAAGAACCUGAACUACAGCCUUCAUUACUUACAUUUGCCUGUAUUACAAAUAUUUUACUAGUGUAAUAAUAAUUUUUUUCCCAGAGAUUAGCAUCCCUCGCAGACCCCCAAAAGUAAAGAACCACAGCUUCUGUGGCUGACACACGAGCACAGCAAUAGAGGCUUAUAUGUGUCAUACAACCUUUGAAGAAGCCACAUGUAUGUCACAUCUUCUACCCAGUCUGUAACUCAGCCACAGGUCCAUCAGACCCUUGUGAAAGGUCCUAUCAAACAUGGCAUCCCCAGAUUACUCUUUGUUCCUUACACUUCAAAACAAACUUGACAAGUUAGUUAAUCACUCCUUCUGCAACAGCUACAGCAGAAAAAAUGACAUGAAUAUGACAAACCUGAAUUCAAAAAUAAGUUCACAGAAGAAUUUGAAGUUAAGCAAGGACAGCAAACAUUUAGACUGUUAAAAUCUUCAUGAAAAGUGCCACAUACAUCCAGUUAUCCUUUGCUAAAAUGCAACAUCAGCUUCUAUUUUUAUCCCAUUGGUAUGGUUUCUCUAGGUUUCUUAGGUUCAUCUGUGCCUUGCUUUUCACUCAACAGCAUGAAAUAUUUUAAUAAGAAAGCUUAACUUUCAGAGCUCUGUGUUGAUUGCUGGAAGAGACCUGUGCAGAAGCUGAUCAAGAAGAAUGCUUCUGAAAUCCACACUUCACCUCAAAGCUUGGUGCUUAGUUAUGGAUUCUUACAGACUUACUUGGCAGCAUUGAGACUGCCAUGCCAAUAUCUAAUAGGAAAUACUAACAACUUAACCUGGAAGUCCCUUUUCCAAAAGUUAACAACCAAUCUAAUGCCAUAUGACUCAAAGCAAUGUUCUUCAAAAUCAUUACAGAAGAUGCAACUAAGCAUAAGUCAUGAUUAGUAUCACUGAAAAGAAAUUGUAAUUCCAAGAAGCAAAAUCUGGUCUCAAUUUUCUUUAUUCAGACAAGACAGAGGAUAAACAGUGUCCAACAGAAAUUACGCAGUUAUUGACCAAAGGAAUCUGAAAUGAAGCUUCAUGCUCCAGGCAAUUAGGAAGACUUCUUACCCUAAGAAGUAAAAGAUAUAAGAAACAGCAAAAGAUUCCCUUCAAUUAUGCAAUUGGGAACCACAGGAGAGACUGCAAUAUCCUGGGUAAUUAAAUGAUAGGCUGUGUGCACUGUACUUACAAAAUAGGAGAAAUCCAUAUUCAUCUUCCAAAUAAUAAUUUAAAAACCCCACCAUAUUUCUGAAUAAGGAAUUAAAUUUUAGCUAUCUUUUCACCAGUGGGAAUACUACCAUUUACUUCAGUCUACACAAUUCUCCCAUAGUUUUUGAUAAUACUACAUCCUAAAUGAAGUUUUUCUUGUCUGUCUGAGGAACUUCAGUUAUCUGUGAUUUGCUGAAUUAUGAUCAACUACUUUUUAAAACUGAAAUAAAUACUAUGUAUAGGAAAAAACUUCAAGUUAUUAUACAAGUUGAUUAAAAAAAGCCCAAAGUAAUUUUUUAAUGUCAAGGCAUUCACACCAGCCAACAUUAAUCAAUGGUCUUUGGAUGUCACUAAUAUCCAUAGGGAGUCUACACUUAUACACAGAGAGAACAAAACUGCUGUAAUGAAUUUAAUUUAUCUUUUAUUCUAGCCAGCUUUGCUACUAGUGAACAGGACAUCUUCUUUAAUCUUCCUUUAAAGCAUAGGUGAGUUUGAUCUCAAUAUGUCAUGUAACAAUUUCAAUGCUGUAUUAUCAUUUAAACACAAACAUCCCAAGAACAUUUUCAUACAGACUGUAUUUAUGUGACCCAGUUCUAACUAUAUAAUUCUUAUAACUAUGCUGUAAGUGUGGGAGAAGGAUUCGACUCUUGCUUUUAAUUGGAUUUUUCUCCUCAGUAAACACAUACUUGAAGAGUUUGUUUGUGAAGUUAAUUAAUAAUAUUGGUUCCAGUUUAUGAAAAACUUGCAGAGAAUUGGAAAAUUACAUUACACAAUCCAGCUUGGUUUGGUUUUCUUCCUAAAUUUGUAUCUUGGAAGCCUGAGAUUUUCUCCUUAAGUAGCAUGUGAAAGAUAAAAAAAUUUGAAUGCAUGUAGAAAAAGGAACUUUUGAGUCCUUGAAUAUAUUCUUAUUCUUAAGACUGGAAUGCAAUGGAAACUCUGACUUUUAUGGAUGGAACUGCACUCUGUGAACCGAAGUGUAACAAAAUUCGGUUUUAUGCACUUCAUCCUCCUGCUGCUGAGCAGGCAGAAAGCUGUGUGAUUCUCUCUCCAUCAAGAUAGGAAUACACCUCAAAAUUCUUUCUGCAUAGGACUUCAGAAUUGCUUGAAAUAGAUAAUAAAAAUUGUCCAUGAUAUUUAAUUCAAUGCAGAAACUAAGCAGAUUUUGAACAUUACUAUUGAGCAAUCUUCAGCUUUUACACCUCAAUUGGCUUCCCUUCAGUUUUAUUCACCACGUCUUUCCUGUCACCCCACUCAAACACAGCAGAUAUAUGCAUAAGAGAUUAACACUACAUUGUUUACUUUGACCAAAAAUAGAAAUCCAGGAGAAAAUGUACAAGGGCACCAAAGGAGACAUACCUGCAUUGGCCUCCUGUACUUCCUGCAGGCUGUGACAUGAGCAAUAACACUUGCAUGAGUCUCUUUGCUGACAUUAAUUCCAUUCACUUUGAUUAUGCACUGGCCAGGGUGAAGACCUGCUGCAGCUGCCACUGUUCCUAUUAAUAAAAACCCACAUAGUUAGCAGACUUCUUUUUCUAAACAUCUCCUUUCAAGAUUACAGUCCAAAAAAUCUUUUUUUAAAAAUCAGAACCUGGUCGGACUGAUCCUUACAUACUUCCCUUGACCACAGAGUACUUCUGUAGACCAGUUGGAUGCCAAGAAAAUGGAUUUUGCCAGCAGAUGUUUCCAUAAAAGAGACCAGACAAUUUCCUAAAGGCUGCUUUAUAAAACAACAUUGACUAGCAAUAUGAAAAUGUAGAAAAUUCACCUCAAAGAAUAAAACUUUAAAAGGAUAAAAUGGCUCUAACUUGAAAGUCACUAAUUACAACUUAGCCUACUUUUAUAUAACCCAAGCUUAUGAGCUUCUUGUUUAAUUCAGGUGUUUCAAUUUUACAUACAAAACAGAGGUUUUCUGGCAAUACAUAAAGUAUAAGAUAAGACUCUAGUAUAAGACUAUAGUAUAAGAUUCUAGAGUAUCAUGUUAAUCAUGAAGUGAAAUAUCUAAAUUCCAAAGACAUUUCCAAAGAUGCUGCUCUUUUUUUCAUCUUCCCUGCCAAUGCAAUUAUAGUAGAGGGCCUUAGAGCUUUAAAUCAAAAUCUCAAAGACAAUUAAGUAGAAUACCUCAAAUUAAAUUAUGAGAGGGUGGGACAGGGGGACACACACAACAUGACACCAAAACAAAACAUUUCCUUUAAGCAAUAUAAAUAUUUGGUUCAGUGAUUUAUUUUCACAAUUGAAUAACCCCGUUGGGAAAAUCUAGUUGCUGAAUAGGCACUACAAAAAGAGGUGCUGUCCCCAGUGCAAUUCAGACUCACUCCUGAAAGACAGCCUGCUGGAGUAUGGCCUUAAUUCCAGCUACCUGAACAUUUGCCUCCAAAUGUCUCUUGAUACUGCCACAGAGGUGCCAAAGAAGUUAAAAAUCUACUGCAUAGAGACUGGCAGACUGGGUUGCAGAAGCUAGGGGCUGUGAAAGAAAAGGCUAGACUGAAUUUGCAGGGCUGACAAAUAGAAAACUUGACACGACUUCAUGACUUGCCCGUUGAGUAUAUUUGACAAGGAAAUAACUUGCAGAAUAUACAUGAGCUUCCCUCAUUUUAGGAAUUAUCACUAUUAGGUUAAAGCUGCAUUUAAAAUGUAAUAUAAAAUAAAUUAAUUGGAAAUUACAGUAUUACCAGCUAUUGCAAUCUCCCCUCCCCCAAAAAAGACUUAAAAAUAAACAUAUAAAUAGAUCUUAUUUAAUAUCUUUCC
Molecule: non-coding RNA, 14939 nt
Organism: Taeniopygia guttata (zebra finch)
Lineage: Eukaryota; Metazoa; Chordata; Aves; Passeriformes; Estrildidae
Source: RefSeq, a predicted model, not a curated record